UCGCUCCUACCGAUUGGAUGAUCCGGUGAAAUUUUCGGACUGUCAUGCGUCGGUGGCAACACCCCGUGUGAUAGGAAGUUACUUAAACCUUAUUAUCUAGAGGAAGGAA
Molecule: ribosomal RNA, 109 nt
Filed under: uncultured eukaryote
Lineage: Eukaryota
Description: partial small subunit ribosomal RNA
Rfam family: Eukaryotic small subunit ribosomal RNA
Source: RNAcentral